CAUGUCUCCCAAGGGAUUGGGUUUUGCUGGUUAGCCAGGGAGGUGAUGUCAGGGGAACUAUCUGGUGGAGGGCUGUCGGUGGGGUGUACUUUUUCAAAAACUCCCAGCCCCUCUGGCAGGCUUCCCUGCAUGUGUCUUCGACUGGAGCACAGGUCCUGUCUCGCAGGUUUUCAGGUGUGCUUGGCUUUUCCUCAGCUUUGUGUGAGUGUUCCCAGUGGCCCCGGGACACAGGCCUGCACCUCACUGUCCGUCUCAGCAUCGUCCCUUAUGACCUCAAAGAGACACACUCACUCCCUCUGCUCUUGGGGGAAGUCAAUGCCAUGUGUGGUCACAUUGGCUCUAUCUUGGCCUCGCCUUUGUCUCUUGUUGCAUGUGUUGUGGAAAGCUGUGUUGGGAUUUCGGAGUCCCUGGGCCUUGGAGAUGAAGGGAGGCCCUUCCCACCUCACUACAUUGUAACCCCAUUCCUGAUCACCCGGUCGGAUCCAUUGUUGGAUUCGAAGAGGUGUCCAGAGAGCCCAGCGGGCACCCCGAAGCUCCUCCUCCACAUGGAACCAAAGCAGAAAACCAAUCAAGAAGGUCCUGACGACAGGACUCCUAUGGGUCUGACCCUGGCUCUCGCGCAGGCCCCUCUCCUAGUCCUCUUCCCACCCGCCGCCUUGGACUGCUCCGCUGCUGCCACCGCUGCCCCAGUCCCUGCAGCCGUCGCGUCGCCACCAUUUUUUAAGGGGUCCCCAGCCUGACUCUCCGGAGCAAAUGGGGAGUCGGCCUCGCCAGUGCUCAUGCCCGAGGCCUGAGCCGCCGUUUUGGUCACAGCGAUUGACACUGUUUCCUGGGGAUGGGUCCCUGAGACUUGGCGAAGUAGAAGCCCUGUGUGAUAGUGCGUCAGAGUCGGGGCUGAGAGCAGUCCUGGCCAGGGCGUUAACAGGAUGGUCUCCAGAGGCCGGGAUUCACGGAGAACCGACCAGCAGGAAGAAACCUCAGGAGGAAGAAACCUCAGGCAGAUCUCCGGGGAGGCAGCGCAAGAUCCCAACCUCAGGCCAGGAUUCGCGGAGGGUCAAGGAGGCCUCUCUCCCAAUCUUCACUUCACCUGCCGCCGCCUCAGUCCCCGCAGGCCCCGCUCCGCCAUAUUUUUUUUAAUGUAGUCAGUGUCUCACUGUCACCCAGUCUGGAGUGCAGUGGCGAGAUCUCAGCUCACUGCGAAGUCUUCCGCCGGGAUUCAAGUGAUUCUCUUCCCUCCGCCUCCCGAGUACCUGGGAUUAGAGGGAUUAGUCAGAGUCAGGGCUAAGACCAGCUCUCACCAGGGGCAUAGACCGGAUGGUCUUGGAGGCCGGGAUUCACGGAGGGUCGUCCAGGAGGAAGAAACCAUGGGCAGAGGGCCAGGGAAGCAGCGCGGGAUCCCAGGCUCAGGCCUGCACCGACUGAUGGUGUGCCAGUGAGUCUCUUCAAAAGAAGAGAGGUUUGCUUGUGUGCCUGUGGGCUGCUCUCUUACCCACGGGUCAUGGUCGCAGAGAGUAGAACCCGGCAGCUUCAGGGGCUGCCUGGGAGUGGGUGUUACCGUGCCACUGCCAUAUGCCUUUGUGCGUUUGUAUGUGUGCCUAUGUCUCUCUCUUAUUUCUCUCUCUCUCCUUUCUCUCUCUUUCGCUCUGUGUCCGUGUGUGUGUGUGUGUUGGGACGCAUGUGCCCUGUGUGCUGGAGGGUGGUAUCUUGUACGUCGACCUUCCUUCUGGUCAGCCUCUCCCUGUGUCUCUGCCUGGGGCAUGUGGCCGGUUGUCAGUCGUUUUUCCGCUGUUCCAGUGUGGGUUUGUGAAAGUCUGGACGAGGUGGGGAGCUGUGUCUAUCUGGUAAGGAUUUAAAUCACCUCUCCACCCUAAGAGGUCUCUUAUCUAGGAUUAAGACCUCUACCCCCCAGCCAAGGAUAAUAGUCUCACCGGAGAGGUCAUUGUCUACCUGCAGGAGCGGUGCCGAGCGACCUCAAAGAAGAUGGUUCUCAUUCCUCUCUCUCUUCCAUCUCAUUGAGAAAUCUAGCCACAGGGUAACACAGGUUUUGAAAAGAAGGGAACGGGAGCAUGGCAAGGAUCUAUGAGUGUGCAGGCUGUGUUUCACAUAUCAUUAAACAUUGUCUAGUGAGUGUUCUGCAGAUAGCUGGCAUUUAACUUUGUUUUAUUGAAUCAAGGAAAGAAAAAA
Molecule: non-coding RNA, 2184 nt
Organism: Chlorocebus sabaeus (green monkey)
Lineage: Eukaryota; Metazoa; Chordata; Mammalia; Primates; Cercopithecidae
Source: RefSeq, a predicted model, not a curated record